AUGGGCAAUGUUUGCUGCUGUUUUUAAGUUGAUCAAUUUACCAUGGCCAUCAGAGAGCAGUUUGGGAAGUUUGAUAGCGUACUUGAGCCAGGAUGCCACUGCCUGCCUUGGAUCUUUUAGACAUGCGUAGUUGGGUAUCUCACACUCAGGUUGCAGCAGCUGGAUGUGCGCUAUGAAACUAAGACAAAGGUGUAUUACUUUAUCUUAAACUCCCAGCUAAAUGGAUGCUUAUUUGACUUUUAUUUCUGA
RNAcentral lists this ribosomal RNA (249 nucleotides) under Triticum aestivum (bread wheat). RNAcentral's name for it is "partial small subunit ribosomal RNA". Lineage: Eukaryota; Viridiplantae; Streptophyta; Magnoliopsida; Poales; Poaceae. The record is from RNAcentral.